GAAGUUUAGGUUAAUCCAAUCAAACCGGGGGCCUUCAAAGCCCCAAAUAAGGGUUAAAUUCCCCUAACUUCUG
RNAcentral lists this transfer RNA (73 nucleotides) under Cryptoblepharus keiensis. RNAcentral describes it as "tRNA-Trp". It matches the Rfam family "tRNA". Rfam says of the family: Transfer RNA (tRNA) molecules are approximately 80 nucleotides in length. Their secondary structure includes four short double-helical elements and three loops (D, anti-codon, and T loops). The record is from RNAcentral. Lineage: Eukaryota; Metazoa; Chordata; Lepidosauria; Squamata; Scincidae.